This 253-nucleotide ribosomal RNA is filed under the name uncultured bacterium. RNAcentral describes it as "partial 16S ribosomal RNA". It matches the Rfam family "Bacterial small subunit ribosomal RNA", at positions 524 to 776 of the family's 1533-position model. The record is from RNAcentral.
UACGGAGGGUGCAAGCGUUGUUCGGAAUCAUUGGGCGUAAAGCGCGUGUAGGCGGCUUGGCAAGUCAGCUGUGAAAGCCCGGGGCCCAACCCCGGAAUUGCAUCUGAAACUGCCUGGCUAGAGUCCCGGAGAGGAAGGCAGAAUUCCCGGUGUAGGGGUGAAAUCCGUAGAUAUCGGGAGGAAUACCAGCGGCGAAGGCGGCCUUCUGGACGGUGACUGACGCUGAGACGCGAAAGCGUGGGGAGCGAACAGG